GCUAUUGGAGUUCGAUUAAGCCAUGCGAGUCGAGAGUCUUAGGGACUCGGCGUACCGCUCAGUAACACGUGGGUAACCUGCCCUAUGCUGGGGAAUAACCUCGGGAAACUGAGAAUAAUGCCCCAUAGUCCACAAUGCCUGGAACGGUUUGUGGAUCAAAGCUCCGGCGGCAUAGGAUGGGCCUGCGGCGUAUCAGGUUGUAGGGGGUGUAACGUACCCUCUAGCCAUCAACGCGUACGGGUGUUGGGAGACAUAGCCCGGAGAUGGAUUCUGAGACACAAAUCCAGACCCUACGGGGUGCAGCAGGCGCGAAAACUUGGCAAUGCGAGAAAUCGUGACCAGGGAACUCCAAGUGGCUGGGGUAAGACCCAGUCUUUUCUUGACUCUUCAAAGGUCUUGGAAUAAGGGGUGGGUAAGGACGGUGCCAGCCGCCGCGGUAAUACCGGCGCCUCAAGUGGUAGUCGAUUUUAUUGGGCCUAAAACGUCCGUAGCCUGUUUGGUACAUUCGUGGGUAAAUCAACCAGCUCAACUGGUUGAAUUCUGCGAGCACGGCCAGACUUGGGACCGGGAGAGGUGUGGGGUACGCUCAGGGUAGGGGUAAAAUCCUGUCAUCCUGAGCGGACCACCUGUUGCGAAGGCGCCACACUAGAACGGAUCCGACGGUCAGGGACGAAGCCUAGGGGCACGAACCGGAUUAGAUACCCGGGUAGUCCUAGGUGUAAACGCUGUGGACUUGGUGUUGGGGACUCUCCGAGAUUCCUCAGUGCCGAAGCGAAGGUGAUAAGUCCACUGCCUGGGGAGUACGGUCGCAAGGCUGAAACUUAAAGGAAUUGGCGGGGGAGCACCGC
This 848-nucleotide ribosomal RNA is filed under the name uncultured archaeon. RNAcentral describes it as "bacterial SSU rRNA". It matches the Rfam family "Archaeal small subunit ribosomal RNA", at positions 29 to 882 of the family's 1478-position model. The record is from RNAcentral.